RNAcentral lists this long non-coding RNA (700 nucleotides) under Homo sapiens (human). Its description in RNAcentral is "HSALNT0304506". Lineage: Eukaryota; Metazoa; Chordata; Mammalia; Primates; Hominidae. The record is from RNAcentral.
CCACCCCAAGGGAACAAUCAGGGAAGAAGGAACGCAAGACGGUGGAAGCAUGCCAACCUAUUAAACCGCAAGUCAGAGAUCAAACCAUAUCCUCAUUUGAAAAUGGAAAAAGAAAAGAAAUGGAGGCAUUGUGUGAUAUUUGCCUAAAUAUAACUAAAGAGAUCCAUUUAUUUUUAGUGUUUGAUUAAAAACCCUCAAAGGAAAAGAGAAAUUUUGAUCUUUGAGAAGAGCUGUUUCAUCACAGGGUGAAGUUGUUUCCUGAGCCCUUUGAUCUGAAAUGACCUUGCGACCUGGAACCAGCAGACAGCCUGAGGGAGGCAGUGCAUGUUCUGAGCCAGGGCCUCAGGAGGCCUGCAGCUGCCAUUCUGCUUCUGUUGGAACAUGACCUCCUUGAGAACACUCCCAGGCCUGACUGCAGGGUGGGGAGACCACACAGAGCAGAGCCGAGCCACCGGGAUGAGGCCCCUAGAUCACCCAGCUCCCAGCUGACCACAGAUCAUGAGUGAUCCCGUUUCUCCCUAGGUCAAGGGUGAUGUUUUGCUCAGAGAAAACUGAAGUUUGGAUUGUUCCAGUCCUGCAUCACAUCCUGUUUCAGGCUGCCCUAAAACAAAACCAGAAACAACCAUCACCACAAAACACCAUACCUUCAAUAGUCUUCUCAGUGUUCAGAAUAAAGGCUCUGGUUUUCCCUUGGGCUCAA